GGAGAGGUGGCAGAGUGGUCGAAUGCGACAGUCUUGAAAACUGUUGGGCCUUCACGGGUCUCGUGGGUUCGAAUCCCACCCUCUCCGCCA
Molecule: transfer RNA, 90 nt
Filed under: Patescibacteria group bacterium
Lineage: Bacteria
Also listed under: 1 other name
Description: tRNA-Ser
Rfam family: tRNA
About the family: Transfer RNA (tRNA) molecules are approximately 80 nucleotides in length. Their secondary structure includes four short double-helical elements and three loops (D, anti-codon, and T loops).
Source: RNAcentral